UAAUACAGAGGGUGCAAGCGUUGUUCGGAAUUACUGGGUGUAAAGCGCGCGCAGGCGGCUUCUUAAGUCUAUGGGUGAAAGACCGGGGCUCAACCCCGUGUCAGCCCGGGAUACUGGGGAGCUAGGGACAUGUAGGGGCGAGCGGAAUUCCGGGUGUAGCGGUGGAAUGCGUAGAGAUCCGGAAGAACACCUGGGGCGAAGGCGGCUCGCUGGGCAUGAUCCGACGCUGAGGCGCGAAAGCGUGGGGAGCGAACAGGAUUAGAUACCCUGGUAGUCCACGCCGUAAACGAUGGGCACUAGGUGCGGGGGGGAUCGGCCCUCUCCGUGCCGAAGCUAACGCGAUAAGUGCCCCGCCUGGGGAGUACGGCCGCAAGGCU
This 377-nucleotide ribosomal RNA is filed under the name uncultured bacterium. RNAcentral's name for it is "bacterial SSU rRNA". It matches the Rfam family "Bacterial small subunit ribosomal RNA", at positions 521 to 895 of the family's 1533-position model. The record is from RNAcentral.